GUGGUCACUUUGGCAGCACAUAUACUAAAUUUGGAAUGUACAGAGAAGAUUAUCAUGGCCCCUGUGCAAGGAUGACACACAAAUUUCUGAAGCAUUCCAUAUUUUU
This 106-nucleotide small nuclear RNA is filed under the name Moschus moschiferus (Siberian musk deer). Lineage: Eukaryota; Metazoa; Chordata; Mammalia; Artiodactyla; Moschidae. The record is from RNAcentral.